GAGUCCUACAAUUUAUAAUAAAUAGGUAGGUUGAUAAAAUGUAUAAAACAAAGUAAAAACAAAAGUCUAACGUCGCUAAAACCUUUUUUUUUUUUAUUGUUUUAGCCUUCUAGCCGUUGAGAUACCAUGGCAACCGCGUACACAUCAGCUGCUGGAGAGGAGAGGACUCGUCUGACAUUUUCUCUGUUUCUCGUCACUUAUACCAAAGAAAAGGUCAACAACUGCGACAGAUUGGUUAAGUAACACGUUAAUAUUAUCCACAGUCUACUUUAAGUACUUUUUGUUAAUAUUUAUACCUCUCUGAUUAUGGUAUUUUUCCUGAAAUGUCUGCUAGCAAGUAUUACGCUAGCGUAGAUACAUAAUUAACGUUAUAGCAUAUUAGAUUUGAGCUCUUAUUAAUGAAAGUUUGGGCUUUUAAUUACAUCUUAUGCGUAAAGGAUCAGUUUUGAUUGCUUUGUAAAUGUUUUUGAUGGUAAUUUGUCAAUAGAUAAAUGAAGUAACGUUAAGAUAAUUAAUUAAACCUAAAAGUCUGCACUGUAGAGUGUAUCAGUGACGUCACUUGCGGUCUAAAAUGGGCUGAAACUAUUUCAAACCACUGUUUCAAGCUUGUUCUGAUUUUUCAUUGUAAACAAAUAUUGAUAAAAAAAAUGUACAGUUAUUUUAGGAGUGUCUUAAAAACCCUCUAAAACAGAGGGGAAGUUCCAAGAAAAUUUCGAAUGGGAGCUGCUGACAGGUGAUCUGAUAAAGCUUAUUAAAUAACUUCAUAUUUAUUUUUUUACAAUAUAUCACCAUGCAUCUGUAAAAUCUAAACAUGUGAAUUCUGGUAUCUUAAGAUAUUUUUGUAUGUUUUCCAUAUUACUAUUUUUCUUUUCUGCAUUUCCCCUAUUCUCUAGUUUGUUUAUUUCUAAUAAGGAGCUGGAGGCCGUGAAGAAACAGAUCCACGAUAUCGUGGAGAAGCAGGCCCAGCUGAGCGAGUGGAGAGCUGUGGUGGAAACAUUCAGGGGUUGAUGCUCAUAAGUCCAGGGUAAGUAUACAGCUAACCCUCCUACCACCUCUACUCUGUGUGGUUCUCUGCAAAGGCCCGGUGUAAGCAGGACGCGAUCUUACCAGAUGUCCUUCACCCUAUAUCACAGUGUAAGACAUGAGCCAGGCCCUGGGCGACGACCUCUCUCCAUCCGCCGCCUCCGGUCUUCAGGAUCUCCGCCGGAAACCGAUUCGCUCUACUUCGCGAGACAGAACACGACGCUGUGAUCAUCGGAGACUCCAUCAUCCGGCACGUUCGUGCUAUGUUAGCUGAAGAUAAAGUCCACACUCACUGUUUCCCUGGUGCUCAUGUUCUGGAUAUUUCUGCACAGAUUCCCGUGAUUCUGAAGGGUGAGGGGAGCAUCGGAGCGGAUGUGCUUCACGCCGGGGUUAACGACACCUUGCUGCGGUAGACGGAGACACUGAAGAGGGACUUCAGGAGCCUGAUCAAGACGGUGCGCAGCAUAUCGUCUGCAUGAUGAUCAUCGUGUCAGGACCACUUCCCACGUAUAGAUGAGGACAUGAAAGGUUCAGUAGACUUUUUGCUUUAAACGAAUGGUUAUUGUCAUGGUGUAAAGAACAGAAACUGCUUUUUGUUAAUAAUUGGAAUCUUUUCUGGGAGCGUCCUAGGCUUUUUAGAUCUCCUGUUGGACAACAUCUCCCGGACACUUCGCUCCAUAUGACUAGGCAGUUUGUGAAGACAUAAUCAAGAGAAGUCAGUUCCAGGUCCACCUCCACACCAGACCUCUCUCUCAUAUGGAUGGCUGUCUACUAGCAUAUUGUGUUCUCUUCAGACUUCGGUGGAUGCAGAUAUUAUUCGGGGACAUGAACACUUGAAUAUUGCAAGAAUAGAGAAAGUAAGAAUUACUUAAGAUUUAAGAAUUUAAUUUUUUGUGGCAGUGUGAACUGGCCAUAAUGAUGUAUGAUAGGUGUGAGAUUUAUUAAACUUUAUUUGCUAUAAUACAUAUGCUGAUAAGCUAUUGCAUAUAUGAUAUUCAAUUAAUUAUUUGUAGUGGUUUGGUUAAGGGUGUGA
Molecule: long non-coding RNA, 2056 nt
Organism: Carassius carassius (crucian carp)
Lineage: Eukaryota; Metazoa; Chordata; Actinopteri; Cypriniformes; Cyprinidae
Exons: 3
Source: RefSeq, a predicted model, not a curated record